RNAcentral lists this ribosomal RNA (497 nucleotides) under uncultured bacterium. RNAcentral's name for it is "partial 16S ribosomal RNA". It matches the Rfam family "Bacterial small subunit ribosomal RNA", at positions 28 to 507 of the family's 1533-position model. The record is from RNAcentral.
GAUGAACGCUGGCGGCGUGCCUAAUACAUGCAAGUCGAGCGAACGGACGAGAAGCUUGCUUCUCUGAUGUUAGCGGCGGACGGGUGAGUAACACGUGGAUAACCUACCUAUAAGACUGGGAUAACUUCGGGAAACCGGAGCUAAUACCGGAUAAUAUUUUGAACCGCAUGGUUCAAAAGUGAAAGACGGUCUUGCUGUCACUUAUAGAUGGAUCCGCGCUGCAUUAGCUAGUUGGUAAGGUAACGGCUUACCAAGGCAACGAUGCAUAGCCGACCUGAGAGAGUGAUCGGCCACACUGGAACUGAGACACGGUCCAGACUCCUACGGGAGGCAGCAGUAGGGAAUCUUCCGCAAUGGGCGAAAGCCUGACGGAGCAACGCCGCGUGAGUGAUGAAGGUCUUCGGAUCGUAAAACUCUGUUAUUAGGGAAGAACAUAUGUGUAAGGAACUGUGCACAUCUUGACGGUACCUAAUCAGAAAGCCACGGCUAACUACGUG